CAGCCGCCGCGGUAACACGUAGGUGGCAAGCGUUGUCCGGAAUUAUUGGGCGUAAAGGGCUCGCAGGCGGUUUCUUAAGUCUGAUGUGAAAGCCCCCGGCUCAACCGGGGAGGGUCAUUGGAAACUGGAAAACUUGAGUGCAGAAGAGGAGAGUGGAAUUCCACGUGUAGCGGUGAAAUGCGUAGAGAUGUGGAGGAACACCAGUGGCGAAGGCGACUCUCUGGUCUGUAACUGACGCUGGGGAGCGAAAGCGUGGAGAGCGAACAGGAUUAGAUACCCGUGUAGUCCCUGUCUCUUAUAA
RNAcentral lists this ribosomal RNA (301 nucleotides) under uncultured bacterium. RNAcentral's name for it is "partial 16S ribosomal RNA". It matches the Rfam family "Bacterial small subunit ribosomal RNA", at positions 509 to 809 of the family's 1533-position model. The record is from RNAcentral.